CCCUUAGAUGUUCUGGGCCGCACGCGCGCUACACUGAUGCAUUCAACGAGCCUAGCCUUGACCGAGAGGUCCGGGUAAUCUUUGAAACUGCAUCGUGAUGGGGCUAGAUUAUUGCAAUUAUUAAUCUUCAACGAGGAAUGCCUAGUAAGCGUGAUUCAUCAAAUCGCGUUGAUUACGUCCCUGCCCUUUGUACACACCGCCCGUCGCUCCUACCGAUUGAGUGUGUUGGUGAGGAGCUUGGAUUGGCCUCGGAAGGUGGUUCGCCACCGUCCGUAGCUGAGAAGUUCUCCAAACCGCCCCACUUAGAGGAAGGAGAAGUCGUAACA
Molecule: ribosomal RNA, 326 nt
Filed under: uncultured eukaryote
Lineage: Eukaryota
Description: partial 18S ribosomal RNA
Rfam family: Eukaryotic small subunit ribosomal RNA
Source: RNAcentral